AUGAACGCUGGCUGCGUGCCUAAUACCUGCAAGUCGCGCGAACAGACGAGGAGCUUGCUCCUCUGACGUUAGCGGCGGACGGGUGAGUAACACGUGGAUAACCUACCUAUAAGACUGGGAUAACUUCGGGAAACCGGAGCUAAUACCGGAUAAUAUAUUGAACCGCAUGGUUCAAUAGUGAAAGACGGUUUUGCUGUCACUUAUAGAUGGAUCCGCGCCGCAUUAGCUAGUUGGUAAGGUAACGGCUUACCAAGGCAACGAUGCGUAGCCGACCUGAGAGGGUGAUCGGCCACACUGGAACUGAGACACGGUCCAGACUCCUACGGGAGGCAGCAGUAGGGAAUCUUCCGCAAUGGGCGAAAGCCUGACGGAGCAACGCCGCGUGAGUGAUGAAGGUCUUCGGAUCGUAAAACUCUGUUAUUAGGGAAGAACAAAUGUGUAAGUAACUAUGCACGUCUUGACGGUACCUAAUCAGAAAGCCACGGCUAACUACGUG
RNAcentral lists this ribosomal RNA (496 nucleotides) under uncultured bacterium. Its description in RNAcentral is "partial 16S ribosomal RNA". It matches the Rfam family "Bacterial small subunit ribosomal RNA", at positions 29 to 507 of the family's 1533-position model. The record is from RNAcentral.